GACUAGCUCAGUUGGUAGAGCAUGAGACUCUUAAUCUCAGGGUCGUGGGUCCGACCCCCACAGUGGGCACCA
This 72-nucleotide transfer RNA is filed under the name Melopsittacus undulatus (budgerigar). Its description in RNAcentral is "tRNA-Lys (CTT) (tRNA-Lys-CTT-8-1)". The stretch from base 4 to 61 matches the Rfam family "tRNA", at positions 8 to 63 of the family's 71-position model. From Rfam's summary of the family: Transfer RNA (tRNA) molecules are approximately 80 nucleotides in length. Their secondary structure includes four short double-helical elements and three loops (D, anti-codon, and T loops). The record is from RNAcentral. Lineage: Eukaryota; Metazoa; Chordata; Aves; Psittaciformes; Psittaculidae.